GGAGAGGUGGCAGAGUGGUCGAUUGCGGCGGUCUUGAAAACCGUUGAAGUGAAAGCUUCCGGGGGUUCGAAUCCCUCCCUCUCCGCCA
Molecule: transfer RNA, 88 nt
Filed under: Prevotellaceae bacterium
Lineage: Bacteria; Pseudomonadati; Bacteroidota; Bacteroidia; Bacteroidales; Prevotellaceae
Description: tRNA-Ser
Rfam family: tRNA
About the family: Transfer RNA (tRNA) molecules are approximately 80 nucleotides in length.
Source: RNAcentral